CCUACGGGAGGCAGCAGUAGGGAAUCUUCCACAAUGGGCGAAAGCCUGAUGGAGCAACGCCGCGUGGGUGAAGCAGGUCUUCGGAUCGUAAAACCCUGUUGUCAGAGAAGAAAGUGCGUGAGCGUAACUGUUCACGUUUCGACGGUAUCUAACCAGAAAGCCACGGCUAACUACGUGCCAGCAGCCGCGGUAAUACGUAGGUGGCAAGCGUUAUCCGGCUUUAUUGGGCGUAAAGGGAACGCAGGCGGUCUGUUAAGUCUGAUGUGAAAGCCGUCGGCUUAACCGGAGUAGUGCAUUGGAAACUGGGAGACGUGAGUGCAGAAGAGGAGAGUGGAACUCCAUGUGUAGCGGUGAAAUGCGUAGAUAUAUGGAAGAACACCAGUGGCGAAAGCGGCUCUCUGGUCUGUAACGGACGCUGAGGUUCGAAAGCGUGGGUAGCAAACAGGAUUAGAUACCCUAGUAGUC
RNAcentral lists this ribosomal RNA (465 nucleotides) under uncultured bacterium. Its description in RNAcentral is "partial 16S ribosomal RNA". It matches the Rfam family "Bacterial small subunit ribosomal RNA", at positions 338 to 795 of the family's 1533-position model. The record is from RNAcentral.